RNAcentral lists this ribosomal RNA (426 nucleotides) under uncultured bacterium. RNAcentral describes it as "bacterial SSU rRNA". It matches the Rfam family "Bacterial small subunit ribosomal RNA", at positions 355 to 772 of the family's 1533-position model. The record is from RNAcentral.
UAGGGAAUUGUUCGCAAUGGGCGCAAGCCUGACGACGCAACGCCGCGUGGAGGAUGAAGACCUUCGGGUCGUAAACUCCUUUCGACCGAGAUGAAUAGCCACUGACCUAAUACGUCGGUGGCCUGACAGUAUCGAGGGAAGAAGCCCCGGCUAACUCCGUGCCAGCAGCCGCGGUAAUACGUAGGUGGCAAGCGUUGUCCGGAUUUAUUGGGUUUAAAGGGUGCGUAGGUGGUCUAUUAAGUCAGUGCUGAAAUAUCCCGGCUUAACCGGGAGGGUGGCAUUGAUACUGAUGGACUUGAGUAAAGUUGAGGUAGGCGGAAUUGACGGUGUAGCGGUGAAAUGCUUAGAUAUCGUCAAGAACACCUAUUGCGAAGGCAGCUUACUAAGCUUUAACUGACACUGAGGCACGAAAGUGUGGGGAUCAAA